CCAUUGCUACAACCGCUCAGCGCAGGUGAUAAGUGCUUAUGCCCCCUGCUGUCUGGCGAGUCUUAGUCUAAUA
Non-coding RNA from Bacillus atrophaeus 1942, 73 nucleotides. Lineage: Bacteria; Bacillati; Bacillota; Bacilli; Caryophanales; Bacillaceae. The record is from Rfam.